This 68-nucleotide transfer RNA is filed under the name Sceloporus grammicus (Graphic spiny lizard). Its description in RNAcentral is "tRNA-Arg". The record is from RNAcentral. Lineage: Eukaryota; Metazoa; Chordata; Lepidosauria; Squamata; Phrynosomatidae.
AGGCGUUGGUCUAAACAAGAUAGUUGAUUUCGACUCAACAGAUCCAGAAUGCUCGCCUGGACGCCUAC